This 433-nucleotide ribosomal RNA is filed under the name uncultured bacterium. RNAcentral describes it as "partial 16S ribosomal RNA". It matches the Rfam family "Bacterial small subunit ribosomal RNA", at positions 29 to 507 of the family's 1533-position model. The record is from RNAcentral.
AACGAACGCUGGCGGCAUGCCUAACACAUGCAAGUCGAACGAGACCUUCGGGUCUAGUGGCGCACGGGUGCGUAACGCGUGGGAACCUGCCCUUAGGUUCGGAAUAACUCCCCGAAAGGGGUGCUAAUACCGGCUAAUGUCUUCGGACCAAAGAUUUAUCACCUUUGGAUGGGCCCGCGUUGGAUUAGCCGGUUGGUAGGGUAAAAGCCUACCAAGGCGACGAUCCAUAGCUGGUCUGAGAGGAAGAGCAGCCACACUGGGGCUGGGAAACGGCCCAGACUCCUACGGGAGGCAGGAGUGGGGGAUAUUGGAAAAUGGGCGGAAGCCUGAACCAGCAAUGCCGGGUGAGUGAUGAAGGCCUUAGCGUUGUAAAGCUCGUUUAUCCGUGAUGAUAAUGACAGUACCGGGAGAAUAAGCACCGGCUAACUCCGUG